GCCGGGUGCCGUGGCCCACGCCUGUGAUCCCAGCUACUUGGGAGGCUGAGGCAGGAGGAUUGCAAGUUGGAGGCCAGCCUCAG
This 83-nucleotide small RNA is filed under the name Marmota monax (woodchuck). Lineage: Eukaryota; Metazoa; Chordata; Mammalia; Rodentia; Sciuridae. The record is from RNAcentral.